This is a non-coding RNA of Ixodes scapularis (black-legged tick), 82 nucleotides long. Lineage: Eukaryota; Metazoa; Arthropoda; Arachnida; Ixodida; Ixodidae. The record is from Rfam.
GCAUUCGUGGCCGAGUGGUUAAGGCGAUGGACCAGAAAUCCAUUGGGGUCUCCACGCACAGGUUCCAAUCCCGUCGACUGCG